GCAGGGUGGUGAGAGUCAUCUCACAAAACUGGCACCUGAACUCAGGGGGGCAACAACAUGGAAUAGCUCCUGUGCACAUGUGGAUCUGCUGAGAAAACUGGGGUGGUGAUAAAAGGGGAUCUGGCUCAUGCAUGCGUCUUCUUGUACUCGUUAUGCCCUGUGCUGAUGGAACACAGCAAACAGGCAAAGCCCAGCCAUCACGCCGUGACAAGGUCACAGAAAGCCAAGGUGAACCCCACACUCUUACAUAAGUGAAAUUCAAAUUUAGUUU
Molecule: long non-coding RNA, 271 nt
Organism: Oxyura jamaicensis (ruddy duck)
Lineage: Eukaryota; Metazoa; Chordata; Aves; Anseriformes; Anatidae
Exons: 2
Source: RefSeq, a predicted model, not a curated record